Molecule: ribosomal RNA, 523 nt
Filed under: uncultured Acidobacteriaceae bacterium
Lineage: Bacteria; Pseudomonadati; Acidobacteriota; Terriglobia; Terriglobales; Acidobacteriaceae
Description: bacterial SSU rRNA
Rfam family: Bacterial small subunit ribosomal RNA
Source: RNAcentral
AAUCAACGCUGGCGGCGUGCCUAACACAUGCAAGUCGAACGAGAAAGUGGAGCAAUCCAUGAGUAAAGUGGCGCACGGGUGAGUAACACGUGACUAACCUACCUUUUAGUGGGGGAUAACCUAGGGAAACCUGGGCUAAUACCGCAUAAUACCUACGGGUCAAAGCAGCAAUGCGCUGAAAGAGGGGGUCGCGGCCGAUUAGCUAGUUGGCGGGGUAAUGGCCCACCAAGGCAGUGAUCGGUAUCCGGCCUGAGAGGGCGCACGGACACACUGGAACUGAAACACGGUCCAGACUCCUACGGGAGGCAGCAGUGGGGAAUUUUGCGCAAUGGGGGAAACCCUGACGCAGCAACGCCGCGUGGAGGAUGAAGUCCCUUGGGACGUAAACUCCUUUCGAUCGGGACGAUAAUGACGGUACCGGAAGAAGAAGCCCCGGCUAACUUCGUGCCAGCAGCCGCGGGUAAUACGAGGGGGGCAAGCGUUUGUUCGGAAUUAUUGGGCGUAAAGGGUGCGUAGGUGGUUC